Long non-coding RNA from Trifolium pratense (red clover), 1536 nucleotides. RefSeq lists it as uncharacterized. NCBI's taxonomy places the organism in Eukaryota, Viridiplantae, Streptophyta, Magnoliopsida, Fabales, Fabaceae. The record is from RefSeq and is a predicted model, not a curated record. The transcript is spliced from 5 exons.
UAGAACAGUCCUUGCUAUCCCUUACUUUCCUAAUUCGUUUCUCACUAUCUGUCGUUCCUCUUUGAUCACUCACCGUCGAACCCUUGGUUCUUCUACUUUCCAUCUCAUCAAACCUCCAUCUUUAUCCUUUUCAAGUUCCUUAGUUUCAACUUAGCACCUCACCUCCAUCUCCGUCAAUCCUAGUUCUUUCGUUUCGACCGAGCACCUCCAUCAUCGAACCCUAAAUCUCGUGAUUUCUCUCCCGGCCCAGCAAUUGAACCCUAAUCCUCGUGAUUAUCAAACCCUAAAUUCUUGCUUUCAACACCUCACGCCCUUCUUCUACUUAUUUUAGGUUAUUAUAAGAAAGGCAUACCUGAAAGGUUUUAGGGAAAUACUUGUUGCUUUACAGGAGCUCAAAACCAUCCCACGGGGGCUGUAUCUACCAUUGGAGAACUUUCUAAUGCACAAAAGCUAAGAUACCAUUGGUUCCAAAGCAUAUGAAUCUGUGAGAAAUAUGCUACUCAUGGUUAAGGGAAUUACCUAUAUCAGAGAUUGGAAGGCUUGUAUAUGUAAAAAGAGUGGUAAAGAGGACAAUAGUUUCGACCCGAGCUCCUCUAAGGGACUUUCAAGUGCCUAGAAUGAGGUGGUGUAUUUUAUAAAGAAUGUAGAGAAAAUUUACUGAUAGGAAAAGGUUGUGUACAUUGCUAGAAGUUGUUGCCACAAAAAGAGAUCACUUGCAUCCUCGUCGACGUCAUCAAGUAAGUUCCCAUACUCAAUCUGUGCAAUAUUAAGUUUGUGAAUUGUCUAUUUGUAAUAUUCAUGAGUUCAUAUAGUAUGCCUAUUGUCUUGACUAAGUAAUAAAACUACCAAUGUUUUGCCUAUUGAGGGAAGAAAGAAGAUGAUGGCAAAUCUUCUCUUCCUCGCCUUCCUUCUUUUUUUUGUGGUAUUUAUUUACUUCAUCUUACUUUUGGCUUAUCGAAGAACUAAUUGGCAAAGAUUGUUGUCAAUGAGAGUUAUUUAUCAGUCAAAAACAACUCUUGGUCUAGUGGCUUAGGUAUGUGAGUUGUUUAUUUCUUUCUUUUACUAGUUGAAUUAAACUAUAGGCUAAAUGUAUAUGUAACUUUUAAUAGUUAUUAUCUUUCUGGUUUAGCAUACUUGUUACUGAAAGUUGAAUCACAUAGGUAGGUUGAAAUGGAAGUGUAGUCUGUUAUAGGAUUAUAGGAAUAACACUAAUUGCACGUUGCAACUUUAGUUUAGAGACAAUGUAAUUUUGACUAGAGAUCAAUGUUGACUAGAGAAAUGAAUACCAAUAUGCCAUACAUAGUUCUGCUGACUAUAAUUAAUUGAAGAACUCGAGUGUUGUUGGAUUAUUUUUUGUUGCUGAGUUGAGAUACUAUACUUCUGAACUAAGUUUGUUUAAUUUUUUAUUGGUGCGUUGCUCAACUGAAAUACUACAUGCCUUAUGCUUCUGUCAAGAUUAAAUGUGUUUGGAAAAGUACUUUUUAUUCUCUACUUUUUAUUCUCUAUAAAGUAUUUGAUGUUAUGUUAGUUUUUAUU